Molecule: small nucleolar RNA, 85 nt
Filed under: Suhomyces tanzawaensis NRRL Y-17324
Lineage: Eukaryota; Fungi; Ascomycota; Pichiomycetes; Serinales; Debaryomycetaceae
Description: Candida tanzawaensis NRRL Y-17324 Small nucleolar RNA snR79
Rfam family: Small nucleolar RNA snR79
Source: Rfam by way of RNAcentral
UUUGGUGAUGAUACAAUUUGUGACGCGAGAUCUAACGAUCGGUGUGUGCACAUGAUUUCUCAAUAGACUACAACGGUAUCUGAUA